Molecule: ribosomal RNA, 468 nt
Filed under: uncultured bacterium
Lineage: Bacteria
Description: partial 16S ribosomal RNA
Rfam family: Bacterial small subunit ribosomal RNA
Source: RNAcentral
GACGAACGCUGGCGGCGUGCUUAACACAUGCAAGUCGAACGGAAAGGCCCUGCUUUUGUGGGGUGCUCGAGUGGCGAACGGGUGAGUAACACGUGAGUAACCUGCCCUUGACUUUGGGAUAACUUCAGGAAACUGGGGCUAAUACCGGAUAGGAGCUCCUGCGGCAUGGUGGGGGUUGGAAAGGUUCGGCGGUUGGGGAUGGACUCGCGGCUUGUCAGCUUGUUGGGGGGGUAGUGGCUUACCAAGGCUUUGACGGGUAGCCGGCCUGAGAGGGUGGCCGGCCACAUUGGGACUGAGAUGCGGCCCAGAAUCCUACGGGAGGCAGCAGUGGGGAAUAUUGCACAAUGGGCGGAAGCCUGAUGCAGCAACGCCGCGUGCGGGAUGACGGCCUUCGGGUUGUAAACCGCUUUCGCCUGUGACGAAGCGUGAGUGACGGUAAUGGGUAAAGAAGCACCGGCUAACUACGUG